Acinonyx jubatus (cheetah) is the source of this 1267-nucleotide long non-coding RNA. RefSeq lists it as uncharacterized. The transcript has 3 exons. Lineage: Eukaryota; Metazoa; Chordata; Mammalia; Carnivora; Felidae. The record is from RefSeq and is a predicted model, not a curated record.
AAGCAACCAGGAAUUAAGCAACAAAAUAGGCCCACGAAAUAAAGUGCUUGUCAAAUACCGGGCGAAAUAAACUACUAUCUUUUCGAGACCAGGGCAGGGGAGUAGGCUGAGGCAACAGAAAGUGCACCGAGGGUGAAGGAUUCACAUGGUCGCCUCCAAAUCUGGUUUUCCGGCCACGGUUCCCCUGCACCCGAGGGUGUCUGCACUGAGCCAGGGGCUGGGAAGCAGGAAGUGUCAUUCCAUCCAGAAGCGUGCGCACUGAGGUCCCGUACCAGCUGUGACCUUGACUUUCACUUCACUUCUAUCUUCUCCUGUAAACUACUGUAACUUCUCUGCCCAGUUCCCCUGUGAGCAACCGUAUGGCUUCCCGGCAUACCCCCGCGAGGAAAUUCCUGAAAGUCCACUAUUAGCCGCUCUUCCUGAGACCUGCUACUGAAUGCUAUACUCGGAGAGAUUCCAAAAUGAAAUCAGUAACAUCUUAGAGUGCCUGAGAAUAUGAUUCCUGGGGAGACCCUGAGCACCGAAGCACUGGUCGUCCAGCAGAGUGCGGAGGGUCCAGGCAGAGAGCAGGGCCUGGAGGCGCCGUUGGCCUUGAAUGGGCCCUGCGUGGUGGAAGAGGAGAAGCGGGUCCCCACCAGCAGAGUGCAAUGUCCCACCAGAGCGCGCCAGUCCCUUCCGGAGGAUGCACGGUAUUUGGGGGAGAACACCAGUACUGCCCGGGAACUGAAGGAAGAGGUCCUAGUCCCCCUGCCCUGCAAACCUGGCUGCCUGUCCUCAGGCGGGUCACCUCGUGGCUGGAUGAAGUUCUUUCAUCACUAAAAUGAGUGGCGCUAUGCUGGACACAACAGAACCAACCGUCUCCUCCCUCCUCUCCCCUGCAGGGAUGCCAGGUGUGGUAGCAGGAACAGUGGGUGUUCCGUCUGCUGACCUCAGAGCUGCUCUCCCUCUACUAAGCUGCAAACUCCUUACAAGUUAGGACCUUGCUUUAUUUCUUUGUUCCCCUAGCCCAGGGCCUAGGAGAGAUUAUGCCUGCAAUCAAUGAUAGUUGCAAAGACAUUUAAAGUAUAAAGCUUUCCAUGACCGUAAGAUAUUAUUUUUAUCUUUUUCACCCUAAAUAGCCCUUGCCAAGGCCUUUCAUAGAUAGUGUGGGAAACUCCAGAACUGAAAAAUCCAGCCCUUGUAAAACCUGUCUUGCUGUUUUCUCUUUUAAAAGAACAUGUUGCCUUUAUUGUCUUUUUUUAAGCCAAGAAUGAAAUAAAAGCUCUUU